Molecule: long non-coding RNA, 470 nt
Filed under: Brassica napus (rape)
Lineage: Eukaryota; Viridiplantae; Streptophyta; Magnoliopsida; Brassicales; Brassicaceae
Description: long non-coding RNA (BNAP_LNC024641)
Source: RNAcentral
AUGUUAGUGGACCAGUAGGACUGGGUUUAGGGCAUGACCUAGGUUUACUUUCGGCUCUAAGGCUGUGCGACGACUGAUCGGCUCUCGUUUUGCCUGUGGGCGAUUUCCACUUGGUUCUUUCCGAUUUAAAGUCCGCGACUUGGCGCCGGCCUAUACGACUUGUAUGGAACGAACCGAUCACUCUCCAGAGACUGUCUGGAGUGCUGACCAAAAUUUUGGAUUUCUUGUAUAGCGCGCUAUGGUAUCGUCGUCGGAUGUAAGAGAACCUUUACUUUUACGAAAGGUUAGACUACGAGUUCUUUUUUUUGAGAACGUUUUUUGGUUUGUCCGUCGGGGCCAAUCGACGGGCAAUUUUUAGGGUCGCGGACGGACCGUGUGUUUGGAUAAUGUCUCUCGAAAAUAUUUACGACAUCUCGCUUUUUCCGAAAGGUAUAUUCUUUGUAGAAAGUUACGAUCUUCGUUUUUAGAGA